This 296-nucleotide signal recognition particle RNA is filed under the name Saimiri boliviensis boliviensis (Bolivian squirrel monkey). RNAcentral describes it as "Metazoan signal recognition particle RNA (ENSSBOG00000009621.1)". It matches the Rfam family "Metazoan signal recognition particle RNA". From Rfam's summary of the family: The signal recognition particle (SRP) is a universally conserved ribonucleoprotein. It is involved in the co-translational targeting of proteins to membranes. The eukaryotic SRP consists of a 300-nucleotide 7S RNA and six proteins: SRPs 72, 68, 54, 19, 14, and 9. The record is from Rfam by way of RNAcentral. Lineage: Eukaryota; Metazoa; Chordata; Mammalia; Primates; Cebidae.
GCUGGGAACACUGACACACACUUGUACUACCAGUUAUCUGAAAGGUGAAGCCAGAAAAACUGAUAGAAUCCAGAAGUUCUGGACUGUUAAUACACUAUGCCCAGUGAACCUCCAUGAUUAGUCUGGCAUCAACAUGGUGACCCCCGUGAAAGCAGGAUACCACCAGGUUGCCUAAGGAGGGGUGAACCAGCCCAGGCUGGAAACAGAGUAGGUCAAAACACAGAUCAGUAGUGGGAUCCCACCUGGGAAUAACCACUGCACUCCAGCCUGAGCCACGUAGUGAGACCCUGUCUCUU